This 67-nucleotide transfer RNA is filed under the name Pseudomonas aeruginosa. Its description in RNAcentral is "tRNA-Gly". It matches the Rfam family "tRNA", at positions 10 to 71 of the family's 71-position model. From Rfam's summary of the family: Transfer RNA (tRNA) molecules are approximately 80 nucleotides in length. Their secondary structure includes four short double-helical elements and three loops (D, anti-codon, and T loops). RNAcentral also lists the same sequence under 41 other names. The record is from RNAcentral. Lineage: Bacteria; Pseudomonadati; Pseudomonadota; Gammaproteobacteria; Pseudomonadales; Pseudomonadaceae.
GCUCAGUUGGUAGAGCACGACCUUGCCAAGGUCGGGGUCGCGAGUUCGAGUCUCGUUUCCCGCUCCA